CGAGGUAUAGGUGCUUGCAUCUAUACUUAGUGGCAGACGGGUGAGUAACGCGUGGGAAUGUACCCCUAAGUCUGGAAUAACUAUUGGAAACGAUAGCUAAUACCGGAUAAUAUCGCAAGAUUAAAGGUUUACCGCUUAGGGAGCGGCCCGCGUUAGAUUAGGUAGUUGGUGGGGUAAUGGCCUACCAAGCCUGUGAUCUAUAGCUGGUCUGAGAGGAUGAUCAGCCACACUGGGACUGAGACACGGCCCAGACUCCUACGGGAGGCAGCAGUGGGGAAUUUUGGACAAUGGGCGAAAGCCUGAUCCAGCAAUGCCGCGUGUGCGAAGAAGGCCUUCGGGUUGUAAAGCACUUUUGUCAGGGAAGAAAUCGUUUGGGUUAAUACCCCGAGCAGUUGACGGUACCUGAAGAAUAAGCACCGGCUAACUACGUGCCAGCAGCCGCGGUAAUACGUAGGGUGCAAGCGUUAAUCGGAAUUACUGGGCGUAAAGCGUGCGCAGGUGGUUUGUUAAGACAGUUGUGAAAUCCCCGGGCUUAACCUGGGAACUGCAAUUGUGACUGGCAGACUAGAGUGAGGCAGAGGGGGGCGGAAUUCCUGGUGUAGCAGUGAAAUGCGUAGAUAUCAGGAGGAACACCGAUGGCGAAGGCAGCCCCCUGGGCCAUCACUGACACUCAUGCACGAAAGCGU
Molecule: ribosomal RNA, 686 nt
Filed under: uncultured bacterium
Lineage: Bacteria
Description: bacterial SSU rRNA
Rfam family: Bacterial small subunit ribosomal RNA
Source: RNAcentral